GAUCCGUGCAGGUCUGGUUCGACUCCAGCGUGCCGGUACUUUUCACCUCUCAGCGCCAGAGCAGAGCCGGUAGCCCAGGGUGUGUCACGUGCCCUUCUCGGCUGUGUGGAACGGCCCACCUAGAGCUCACCCCUGCUGGGCUGGAGAGGCGCUGCGGACCCCGUUUCCUUCCACAGGCCUCUUGAGCUGUACAGGAAGCUCCUGGUGGGCAGGUCUCCAUCAUCACAUCACGGCCGUGCUCCCAGCGGCGACUGCAGCCUCUCUUCAUCCCUUCACGGAGCGCGGGAAAGGGUCAGAGCGAGAGUGAACAGUCUGUCAUUUUUGGAGUAGUACGCAGAUAUCUCUAUCUACAUCAGCCACCGACAACCACGUAUUGGACAGUCGCUACUAUUUCUGGUGGUUUGAGAGACAGAUCCAGUGUGGUACGUCUGCAGAAGGAGCCUGCGUGAGUCCGAGUCUCACUGCGUUUGCGUCACACAUGUGCCAGUAAACAGUUAUAGUCAUCAAAAUCGAAACUGCGGCACAAUCCAGAGGUUGUUGAGAAGAUGUUCUGAUGCUGCGUGAGAUCAGUCUGUUACCACCAUCUGCUGGUGACGCACAGGACAGCGGCGACAGACUCGGCUCAGAACAGACUUUUAAAGUUCAGCUCGACUGUUAUUGCGUGAAUCAAGGAACGUUUUGACUCACGGGUCGUUUGACUUCGGUAUCAGCGUCCCCAGCUCCUUGAUCCUGUAGUUGAUGUUGUAUCGCCGUCGUCUUUCGACUG
This is a long non-coding RNA of Puntigrus tetrazona (Sumatra barb), 766 nucleotides long. RefSeq lists it as uncharacterized. The transcript has 7 exons. The record is from RefSeq and is a predicted model, not a curated record. NCBI's taxonomy places the organism in Eukaryota, Metazoa, Chordata, Actinopteri, Cypriniformes, Cyprinidae.